GGUUCCAUAGCUCAGUUGGUUAGAGCGCGAGCUUAACACGCUCGAGGUCGCCGGUUCGAUCCCGGCUGGAAUCA
Gonapodya prolifera JEL478 is the source of this 74-nucleotide transfer RNA. It matches the Rfam family "tRNA". From Rfam's summary of the family: Transfer RNA (tRNA) molecules are approximately 80 nucleotides in length. Their secondary structure includes four short double-helical elements and three loops (D, anti-codon, and T loops). The record is from Rfam. Lineage: Eukaryota; Fungi; Monoblepharomycota; Monoblepharidomycetes; Monoblepharidales; Gonapodyaceae.